RNAcentral lists this microRNA (22 nucleotides) under Cordylochernes scorpioides. Lineage: Eukaryota; Metazoa; Arthropoda; Arachnida; Pseudoscorpiones; Chernetidae. The record is from RNAcentral.
UGAAGUGCGAUGUGGACAUCAG